UACGUAGGUGGCAAGCGUUGUCCGGAUUUAUUGGGCGCAAAGCGCGCGCAGGCGGUCCUUUAAGUCUGAUGUGAAAGCCCACGGCUCAACCGUGGAGGGUCAUUGGAAACUGGGGGACUUGAGUACAGAAGAGAAGAGUGGAAUUCCACGUGUAGCGGUGAAAUGCGUAGAUAUGUGGAGGAACACCAGUGGCGAAGGCGACUCUCUGGUCUGUAACUGACGCUGAGGCGCGAAAGCGUGGGGAGCAAACAGG
This 253-nucleotide ribosomal RNA is filed under the name uncultured bacterium. Its description in RNAcentral is "partial 16S ribosomal RNA". It matches the Rfam family "Bacterial small subunit ribosomal RNA", at positions 524 to 776 of the family's 1533-position model. The record is from RNAcentral.